CCUACGGGGUGCAGCAGUGGGGAAUUUUGCGCAAUGCUCGUAAGAGUGACGCAGCGACGCCGCGUGAAUGACGAAGGCCUUCGGGUCGUAAAGUUCUUUCGACAGGGAAGAAAAUGCCUAUAAGUAACUGUGUAUGUAUUGACGGUACCUGUAUAAGCAGCCCCGGCUAACUCCGUGCCAGCAGCCGCGGUAAUACGGAGGGGGCGAGCGUUGUUCGGAGGGACUGGGCGUAAAGAGCACGUAGGCGGUGUUGUAAGUCAUUAGUCAAAGACUAGAGCUCAACUUUAGUAAGGCUAGUGAUACUAUAAUACUAGAGUAUCAGAGAGGAGUGCAGAAUUCCUGGUGUAGCGGUGAAAUGCGUAGAUAUCAGGAGGAAUACCGUUAGCGAAGGCGGCAAUCUGGCUGGAAACUGACGCUGAGGUGCGAAAGCGUGGGUAGCAAACAGGAUUAGAUACCCUUGUAGUC
Molecule: ribosomal RNA, 465 nt
Filed under: uncultured bacterium
Lineage: Bacteria
Description: partial 16S ribosomal RNA
Rfam family: Bacterial small subunit ribosomal RNA
Source: RNAcentral